CCUACGGGAGGCAGCAGUGGGGAAUUUUGGACAAUGGGCGAAAGCCUGAUCCAGCCAUGCCGCGUGCAGGAUGAAGGCCUUCGGGUUGUAAACUGCUUUUGUACGGAACGAAACGGUCUCUUCUAAUAAAGGGGGCUAAUGACGGUACCGUAAGAAUAAGCACCGGCUAACUACGUGCCAGCAGCCGCGGUAAUACGUAGGGUGCAAGCGUUAAUCGGAAUUACUGGGCGUAAAGCGUGCGCAGGCGGUUAUAUAAGACAGUUGUGAAAUCCCCGGGCUCAACCUGGGAACUGCAUCUGUGACUGUAUAGCUAGAGUACGGUAGAGGGGGAUGGAAUUCCGCGUGUAGCAGUGAAAUGCGUAGAUAUGCGGAGGAACACCGAUGGCGAAGGCAAUCCCCUGGACCUGUACUGACGCUCAUGCACGAAAGCGUGGGGAGCAAACAGGAUUAGAUACCCUGGUAGUCCACGCCCUAAACGAUGUCAACUGGUUGUUGGGUCUUCACUGACUCAGUAACGAAGCUAACGCGUGAAGUUGACCGCCUGGGGAGUACGGCCGCAAGGUUGAAACUUNAAAGGAAUUGACGGNUUGGNGNGNGCGAGCGACGACGAGGAGAGG
RNAcentral lists this ribosomal RNA (617 nucleotides) under uncultured bacterium. RNAcentral describes it as "bacterial SSU rRNA". It matches the Rfam family "Bacterial small subunit ribosomal RNA", at positions 338 to 945 of the family's 1533-position model. The record is from RNAcentral.